AGCAGCACGGGCUGCGCCGGGUGAAGUCACCGGCACCAUUCAAGGCGGGGAGCGAGCGCCGGGCGCCCGUCCGCCCCGCCGGCUCCCGAGGACGCGGCGCCGCUGCCGCAGGACGCCGGGAACCGGCCCGACUGAAAUGGCAUCAUGACUUUCCUGUGGAAUUACUCCCCUAAUAAGGUCUGUGUUUGGACUCCAGCAGCCUCAUCCUUGCUACGGUGCCAGAGAUCAACCCGACAGGUCACAUCUCAG
Long non-coding RNA from Colius striatus (speckled mousebird), 249 nucleotides. RefSeq lists it as uncharacterized. NCBI's taxonomy places the organism in Eukaryota, Metazoa, Chordata, Aves, Coliiformes, Coliidae. The record is from RefSeq and is a predicted model, not a curated record. The transcript is spliced from 2 exons.